Molecule: long non-coding RNA, 1594 nt
Organism: Sesamum indicum (sesame)
Lineage: Eukaryota; Viridiplantae; Streptophyta; Magnoliopsida; Lamiales; Pedaliaceae
Source: RefSeq, a predicted model, not a curated record
AUAUGUGGGACAAUUCUCUCUCUCUCUCUCUCUCAAGCUAGCCGAAAAUCCCUUCUCUUCCUCUUGGUUCUUCUUAACUUUGAAUCAAGUCAAGACCAGGAGUAAAUCAAACACACUGAUCAAUAGUUUUUUUCUAUUUGUCUUCCUAGAUCUCAUACUUUCUUGCAAGAGGAUGUAGAUCUCUUCCCGAUGUGGUGCGUAGUGCUUUAGAUGGAUUCUAUAUUUGGAUCUUCCAUGAACAAGAUCAGGACGACCCAUGUAGCCGGUUACAGAAAACGAAAGAGAACGUACGGCAAAAGAACGUCUUCAUUCUAUGGCAAAAGAACGUCUUCUCUCCACCUCUGAUUUCACCGCCAUCGUCGCCGUUCUGAUGACCCACUGGCCGAGAUGUAUACCCGUCAAUUCCCCUCCUCAAGGCGAACAUUUCGGUAUGUUUUGAUUCAAUUUUCAUCCAUCUUUCCAAUUUGUAGUAUAUUUAACCACCUUCUACAUUCAAACGUCAAUUUGCCACCGUUUGAACGCCUUAUGCCGGCGAACCACCACCAUUCGUCUGCCCAUCGUCCGUCGAGGCCAACGGACCCUCACCCAUCGAGUUUCGACAACUGUACGACGAGAUUGAGUUUCUUCACCGAAACGCCGAUCAUUUCACCGCCACAAUUCUUCGCAGUUGAUGGUGAUUUCACAAAGGCAUGGCAUAUCGCAAAUACUUGGAGCAGGCUGGCUUUCCACAGGAGGAGCAUUGGACAUUAAAUGUUGAGCAGCGCUUAAUGUGGAUAAUCGUUAACAACAACACCCUGGUCCCCAUGAGAGACGAUCAUCGUGCGGAGGCACACAUUUCUCAGUGGGUUCGUGCAUUAAGAUGGCAUUUUGGGUAGCAUUACACACGAGAUCAGGUCCGUCAGAAAUUUUAGAAUUGAAGGAGCAUUUUCGUCAGUUCCACGAAAUCACUCAGAUACCAGGGAUUUAUUAUGACGUUGAAAUAUUUUGUAUGGAUUUUUCUGACGAGCUACGACCACGUACGACAUGGACGAUACUACCAGUACCCAGAGCCUCAUUACCCCAGCAUGCUCGAGAUAUGGGGCCCAAUUAGACUGCCGCUUGGUCCAACAGAGGUGCAUAGUGAUGGGGGGCAUAGCCAGAGUAGUAAUGCACCGCGUAGUUUUGUGAGAGGUGGUGAAGAUGCCCCCAUUAUCAUCUCGGGAUCCACUGCAGCAACGAACCAAACGCAUACUCAUAUUGCUAGUUGGGAUGUAGUGGAACAGGUAGCUUGUGGGGAUGGUGGCCCACGAUUGGCGAGCAAUAUUUCAUGAGUGCCACGUCGAAGUCUGGACAUGGGUUCUGGAGUUGGCGGGAUUAGAUCAUGGACAGAUUAUAUUCGUCGCUUUGGCGUGCAAUCCGACUGUGGAGGCCAUUCGCAUAGUGAGGGAGACAGUAUAGCACGCUCACGGCGACCACAAGGAAUUCCACCACGGCGAUGUGACGGUCCUUAAGUAAUAGUGGUAUUGUUGUAGAAUAUAUGAACCAGUCACAUGUUGUCAUAUGUUAAUUACAAAGUUAACGGAAACAUGAUUUUGUGCGUCUUUUAUCAUUCAAU